Long non-coding RNA from Erinaceus europaeus (western European hedgehog), 377 nucleotides. RefSeq lists it as uncharacterized. The record is from RefSeq and is a predicted model, not a curated record. The transcript is spliced from 2 exons. NCBI's taxonomy places the organism in Eukaryota, Metazoa, Chordata, Mammalia, Eulipotyphla, Erinaceidae.
GGGUGGGGAGGGAGAGCUGGAGGGAGGGUGUGAUGAGGAGGGGCAGGGAGAAGGGCAGGCCAGGCAGAGCCUAUGAGCCAGCUGGGGUGAGUGAGGGAGAGCAGUCGCUAGAGGGGCUCCUCUGAGGGGCCUUGUGUCUGUCCUCUGGCCUCCUCUCUCCCCUGGCAGGGUCUCACCUGCCUGUGCCCGGCCCCUGCCCUGGUCAGCCCCUAGCCGUCCCGCGGCGCUGUCUGUCCUGGAUCUUCCUGUGUCCCUGUGUCCCGCAGCCCUGGGGGAGGGGCUUUCUGUGCCCCGGCCCCUCUUGGCCUCUCUUGGGGGUCCUGCCACCCAAAGGCACAGCCUGCUCUCCCUGCAAAUAAAGGCCGGCUGGCACUGGA